CUUGCUGUUGCCGAAUCCGCUACUCGAUCCUCAAUUUUGCAAUCAAUAUCCAUGGAAAAAUAAUUAUUGGUCGCACUACUACAUACUCUUAGAGAUAUAUAAUAAAAUCAUUUUUUGUUUAGAACGAUUACAUACACUGAAAAUUAUAAUCAAUAAUUUAAUAUUCAUCCCUUUGGUCAAGCAAGGGAUCCAUCUUCAACAGAUGAAGCAAGAAAUCACUCCAAGAAUCAAUAGGCCCAGGCAAGCACCAAUGUACACAAUCAUUGAGUUCAGUCACAUUCACAUUCUCAGGUAUCCAACGCCAAUAUUUACUGGGGUGCCCAUCUGGCCUUAAUAGCAUAGCUCGUGUUGGAUCAAUCAAUCUAAAUCUCGACCCCUUCUUCUUCCCUUCGAUUUUCGCAACCCUAAAUUCCUUGAGUUGAAUCAUGUAAAAAUCCAUAUUCAUACCUUCCAAAAUACUCUCAUUUCUUUUAAAUGGUCUUUGUCUUAUACAAUUCCCUCCCUCGUUCCACUCCCCAUUUUCAAAGUGGGAUGGUGUAAAAGUCCUUAAAAAGGUUAUCCCUUUGUAGUUUCCUAAAGUAUUUAUUGCUUUAAAAGCUGUUCUGAACGCCCUCUCGUAGCCAUAAGUUAUCCAAAAGUUAGUGACAUUUGGAAUUUUGCAAUAGUUGCACCCCACGAGCUGGUGAUUCUCGUAAUACAUGGCUGGCCGGCGAAACCAUUGCCCGGCACUGAGAAUAAUGUAAUCAAAUUUAUCUAUAUAGUUUGUCCAGGAUUCGUCAAAUUCAUCGAGGUAGAGAUUGAAAAGAUCAGAGUUUUCCUCUUUGGACUUCACGAGAAAGGGCGACCAAAACCGGGCAAUUGUGAAAUUGUAACUCAAAUACUCCGAACCAUUAAAAUGUGCAUCGAUGGGAUUCUCCACCUGAAAUCAAACAAGAUAUUUGUCAUCCAGUUCUAUUCGUACCUGCUAUUCUUCAUCGAAUGAUCAUCAACAUGUGAUAGCCUCCAGGGCACAUACUUAUUUAACUGUAAAAAUGAAAAUACAUAUAAAAUUAUGAAUUUACCC
Molecule: long non-coding RNA, 1063 nt
Filed under: Olea europaea subsp. europaea
Lineage: Eukaryota; Viridiplantae; Streptophyta; Magnoliopsida; Lamiales; Oleaceae
Source: RNAcentral